RNAcentral lists this ribosomal RNA (252 nucleotides) under uncultured bacterium. Its description in RNAcentral is "partial 16S ribosomal RNA". It matches the Rfam family "Bacterial small subunit ribosomal RNA", at positions 524 to 776 of the family's 1533-position model. The record is from RNAcentral.
UACGUAGGGGGCUAGCGUUAUCCGGAAUUACUGGGCGCAAAGGGUGCGUAGGUGGUUUCUUAAGUCAGAGGUGAAAGGCUACGGCUCAACCGUAGUAAGCCUUUGAAACUGGGGAACUUGAGUGCAGGAGAGGAGAGUGGAAUUCCUAGUGUAGCGGUGAAAUGCGUAGAUAUUAGGAGGAACACCAGUUGCGAAGGCGGCUCUCUGGACUGUAACUGACACUGAGGCACGAAAGCGUGGGGAGCAAACAGG